Molecule: transfer RNA, 77 nt
Filed under: Candidatus Omnitrophota bacterium
Lineage: Bacteria; Pseudomonadati; Candidatus Omnitrophota
Description: Candidatus Omnitrophica bacterium tRNA-Ile
Rfam family: tRNA
About the family: Transfer RNA (tRNA) molecules are approximately 80 nucleotides in length. Their secondary structure includes four short double-helical elements and three loops (D, anti-codon, and T loops).
Source: RNAcentral
GGGCCUGUAGCUCAGUCUGGCAGAGCAGUAGACUCAUAAUCUAUUGGUCCAAGGUUCAAAUCCUUGCGGGCCCACCA